Molecule: ribosomal RNA, 565 nt
Filed under: Leptodophora orchidicola
Lineage: Eukaryota; Fungi; Ascomycota; Leotiomycetes; Helotiales
Description: eukaryotic LSU rRNA
Rfam family: 5.8S ribosomal RNA (bases 216-369)
Source: RNAcentral
GCGCCCGCGGAGCUCGCUCCCGGGGCUACCCUACUCCCGUAGGGUUUAGAGUCGUCGGGCCUCUCGGAGAAGCUCGGUCCUGAACUCCACCCUUGAAUAAACUACCUUUGUUGCUUUGGCGGGCCGCCUCGUGCCAGCGGCUUCGGCUGUUGAGUGCCCGCCAGAGGACCCCAACUCUUGUUUUUAGUGAUGUCUGAGUACUAUAUAAUAGUUAAAACUUUCAACAACGGAUCUCUUGGUUCUGGCAUCGAUGAAGAACGCAGCGAAAUGCGAUAAGUAAUGUGAAUUGCAGAAUUCAGUGAAUCAUCGAAUCUUUGAACGCACAUUGCGCCCUCUGGUAUUCCGGGGGGCAUGCCUGUUCGAGCGUCAUUAUAACCACUCAAGCUCUCGCUUGGUAUUGGGGUUCGCGGUUUCGCGGCCCCUAAAAUCAGUGGCGGUGCCUGUCGGCUCUACGCGUAGUAAUACUCCUCGCGAUUGAGUCCGGUAGGUCUACUUGCCAGCAACCCCUAAUUUUUUUAAGGUUGACCUCGGAUCAGGUAGGGAUACCCGCUGAACUUAAGCAUAU